UACGGAGGAUGCAAGCGUUAUCCGGAUUCAUUGGGUUUAAAGGGUGCGCAGGUGGGAAAAUAAGUCAGUGGUGAAAUACUGCCGCUUAACGGUAGAAUUGCCAUUGAUACUGUUUUUCUUGAGUAUGGUUGAGGUAGGUGGAAUGUGUUGUGUAGCGGUGAAAUGCAUAGAUAUGACACAGAACGCCAAUUGCGAAGGCAGCUUACUAAGCCAUUACUGACGCUGAGGCACGAAAGCGUGGGGAUCAAACAGGAUUAGAAACCCCAGUAGUCC
This 273-nucleotide ribosomal RNA is filed under the name uncultured prokaryote. RNAcentral describes it as "partial 16S ribosomal RNA". It matches the Rfam family "Bacterial small subunit ribosomal RNA", at positions 524 to 796 of the family's 1533-position model. The record is from RNAcentral.